AGACGUGUUUACACGGCAGGCAUUUUAUGUUAUGCUUACCUGCAAGAGACGUGUUUGCACGGCAGGAAUUAUAUGUUAUGCUUACCUGCAAGAGACGUGUUUACACGGCAGGAAUUAUAUGUUAUGCCCACCUGCAAGAGACGUGUCUACACGGCAGGAAU
Non-coding RNA from Nematostella vectensis (starlet sea anemone), 161 nucleotides. The record is from Rfam. NCBI's taxonomy places the organism in Eukaryota, Metazoa, Cnidaria, Anthozoa, Actiniaria, Edwardsiidae.